Molecule: ribosomal RNA, 546 nt
Filed under: Neocryptopteryx orientalis
Lineage: Eukaryota; Metazoa; Arthropoda; Insecta; Hymenoptera; Ichneumonidae
Description: partial 16S large subunit ribosomal RNA
Rfam family: Archaeal large subunit ribosomal RNA (bases 397-546)
Source: RNAcentral
AAACAUGUCUUUAAGAUUAUAAUUUAAAGUCUAAUCUGCUCCAUGGAUUAUUAUAUUUAAAUAGCUGCAGAAUAUUAACUGUACAAAGGUAGCAUAAUCAAUAGUUUUUUAAUUAAAAGCUGGAAUGAAUGAUUUGAUAAGGUAAUUAUUGUCUCAAAUUUAAUAAAAUUAGAAUUUUUUUUUUAGUAAAAAUACUAAAUUGAAUUUAAAAGACGAGAAGACCCUAUAGAAUUUUAUAUUUUAAAUUAAAUUUAAUAUAAAUAAAAAAUUAUAUUUUAAUUAAAAAAUAUUAGGUUGGGGUAAUUAUUAAAUUAAUUAAAUUUUAAUAUAUUAUAAACAAUAAUUGUUGAUUUUUUGAUCUUAAAUUUUUGAAUUAUUAGAAUAAAUUACCUUAGGGAUAACAGCGUAAUUUUUUUGGAGAGAUCUAAUUGAUAAAAAAGUUUGCGACCUCGAUGUUGAAUUAAGAUAAAAUUUUAAUGAAGAAGUUAAAAAUUUUUGGUCUGUUCGACCAUUAAAAUCUUACAUGAUCUGAGUUCAAACCGGAGA